RNAcentral lists this transfer RNA (74 nucleotides) under Exutisphaerella laricina CBS 326.52. RNAcentral describes it as "tRNA-Ala (TGC) (tRNA-Ala-TGC-2-1)". It matches the Rfam family "tRNA". Rfam says of the family: Transfer RNA (tRNA) molecules are approximately 80 nucleotides in length. Their secondary structure includes four short double-helical elements and three loops (D, anti-codon, and T loops). The record is from RNAcentral. Lineage: Eukaryota; Fungi; Ascomycota; Dothideomycetes; Mycosphaerellales; Mycosphaerellaceae.
GGGGAUAUGGCGCAGUGGAUUAGCGCGUUCGCUUUGCAUGUGAAAGGACCGGGGUUCGAUCCCCUGUAUCUCCA